RNAcentral lists this ribosomal RNA (497 nucleotides) under uncultured bacterium. Its description in RNAcentral is "partial 16S ribosomal RNA". It matches the Rfam family "Bacterial small subunit ribosomal RNA", at positions 28 to 507 of the family's 1533-position model. The record is from RNAcentral.
GAUGAACGCUGGCGGCGUGCCUAAUACAUGCAAGUCGAGCGAACAGACGAGGAGCUUGCUCCUUUGACGUUAGCGGCGGACGGGUGAGUAACACGUAGGUAACCUACCUAUAAGACUGGGAUAACUUCGGGAAACCGGAGCUAAUACCGGAUAAUAUUUCGAACCGCAUGGUUCGAUAGUGAAAGAUGGCUUUGCUAUCACUUAUAGAUGGACCUGCGCCGUAUUAGCUAGUUGGUAAGGUAACGGCUUACCAAGGCAACGAUACGUAGCCGACCUGAGAGGGUGAUCGGCCACACUGGAACUGAGACACGGUCCAGACCCCUACGGGAGGCAGCAGUAGGGAAUCUUCCGCAAUGGGCGAAAGCCUGACGGAGCAACGCCGCGUGAGUGAUGAAGGUCUUCGGAUCGUAAAACUCCGUUAUUAGGGAAGAACAAACGUGUAAGUAACUGUGCACGUCUUGACGGUACCUAAUCAGAAAGCCACGGCUAACUACGUG